CCUACGGGUGGCAGCAGUGAGGAAUAUUGGUCAAUGGCCGGUAGGCUGAACCAGCCAAGCCGCGUGAAGGACGACGGUGCCAAGCGUUGUAAACUUCUUUUGUCAGGGGACAAAAUCAGGCACGAGAGCCUGACCGAGGGUACUUGAUGAAAAAGCAUCGGCUAACUCCGUGCCAGCAGCCGCGGUAAUACGGAGGAUGCGAGCGUUAUCCGGAUUUAUUGGGUUUAAAGGGGGCGUAGGCGGACUGUUAAGUCAGCGGUAAAAGCUCGGGGCUCAACCCCGGCGUGCCGGUGAAACUGGCUGUCUUGAGAUGUCGAGAGGUAUGCGGAAUGCGCAGUGUAGCGGUGAAAUGCUUAGAUAUUGCGCAGAACUCCGAUUGCGAAGGCAGCAUACCGGCGUCGAUCUGACGCUGAGGCACGAAAGCGUGGGUAUCGAACAGGAUUAGAUACCCUUGUAGUC
Molecule: ribosomal RNA, 459 nt
Filed under: uncultured bacterium
Lineage: Bacteria
Description: partial 16S ribosomal RNA
Rfam family: Bacterial small subunit ribosomal RNA
Source: RNAcentral